GAGAUGUGGGUAGUCCGCACGAGCGCACCUCGCCUUUAGUUGCCAUCAUUAAGUUGGGCACUCUAGAGGGACUGCCGGUGAUAAGCCGGAGGAAGGUGGGGAUGACGUCAAGUCCUCAUGGCCCUUAUGGGCUGGGCUACACACGUGCUACAAUGGCGCUGACAGAGGGCAGCUAGCUCGCGAGAGUAAGCUAAUCCCAAAAAGGCGCCUCAGUUCAGAUUGCACUCUGCAACUCGAGUGCAUGAAGUUGGAAUCGCUAGUAAUCGUGGAUCAGCAUGCCACGGUGAAUACGUUCCCGGGCCUUGUACACACCGCCCGUCACACCAUGGGAAUUGGCUUUACCCGAAGGUAGUGUGCUAACCGCAAGGAGGCAGCUAACCACGGUAAGGUCAGUAACUGGGGUGAAGUCGUAACAAGGUAGCCGUAGGGGAACCUGCGGCUGGAUCACCUCCUUUCU
This 457-nucleotide ribosomal RNA is filed under the name uncultured Alphaproteobacteria bacterium. RNAcentral's name for it is "bacterial SSU rRNA". It matches the Rfam family "Bacterial small subunit ribosomal RNA", at positions 1069 to 1533 of the family's 1533-position model. The record is from RNAcentral. Lineage: Bacteria; Pseudomonadati; Pseudomonadota; Alphaproteobacteria.